This 530-nucleotide ribosomal RNA is filed under the name uncultured bacterium. Its description in RNAcentral is "partial 16S ribosomal RNA". It matches the Rfam family "Bacterial small subunit ribosomal RNA", at positions 355 to 871 of the family's 1533-position model. The record is from RNAcentral.
UGGGGAAUAUUGCAUAAUGGGCGCAAGCCUGAUGCAGCCAUGCCGCGUGUGUGAAGAAGGCCUUCGGGUUGUAAAGCACUUUCAGCGAGGAGGAAGGUGGUGAACUUAAUACGUUCAUCAAUUGACGUUACUCGCAGAAGAAGCACCGGCUAACUCCGUGCCAGCAGCCGCGGUAAUACGGAGGGUGCAAGCGUUAAUCGGAAUUACUGGGCGUAAAGCGCACGCAGGCGGUUUGUUAAGUCAGAUGUGAAAUCCCCGGGCUCAACCUGGGAACUGCAUUUGAAACUGGCAAGCUAGAGUCUCGUAGAGGGGGGUAGAAUUCCAGGUGUAGCGGUGAAAUGCGUAGAGAUCUGGAGGAAUACCGGUGGCGAAGGCGGCCCCCUGGACGAAGACUGACGCUCAGGUGCGAAAAGCGUGGGGAGCAAACAGGAUUAGAUACCCCUGGUAGUCCACGCUGUAAAACGAUGUCGAUUUUGGAGGUUGUGCCCCUUGAGGCGUGGCUUCCGGAGCUAACGCGUUAAAAUCGACCG